GUUAAGCGACUAAGCGUACACGGUGGAUGCCCUGGCAGUCAGAGGCGAUGAAGGACGUGCUAAUCUGCGAUAAGCGUCGGUAAGGUGAUAUGAACCGUUAUAACCGGCGAUUUCCGAAUGGGGAAACCCAGUGUGUUUCGACACACUAUCAUUAACUGAAUCCAUAGGUUAAUGAGGCGAACCGGGGGAACUGAAACAUCUAAGUACCCCGAGGAAAAGAAAUCAACCGAGAUUCCCCCAGUAGCGGCGAGCGAACGGGGAGCAGCCCAGAGCCUGAAUCAGUGUGUGUGUUAGUGGAAGCGUCUGGAAAGGCGCGCGAUACAGGGUGACAGCCCCGUACACAAAAAUGCACAUGCUGUGAGCUCGAUGAGUAGGGCGGGACACGUGGUAUCCUGUCUGAAUAUGGGGGGACCAUCCUCCAAGGCUAAAUACUCCUGACUGACCGAUAGUGAACCAGUACCGUGAGGGAAAGGCGAAAAGAACCCCGGCGAGGGGAGUGAAAAAGAACCUGAAACCGUGUACGUACAAGCAGUGGGAGCACGCUUAGGCGUGUGACUGCGUACCUUUUGUAUAAUGGGUCAGCGACUUAUAUUCUGUAGCAAGGUUAACCGAAUAGGGGAGCCGAAGGGAAACCGAGUCUUAACUGGGCGUUAAGUUGCAGGGUAUAGACCCGAAACCCGGUGAUCUAGCCAUGGGCAGGUUGAAGGUUGGGUAACACUAACUGGAGGACCGAACCGACUAAUGUUGAAAAAUUAGCGGAUGACUUGUGGCUGGGGGUGAAAGGCCAAUCAAACCGGGAGAUAGCUGGUUCUCCCCGAAAGCUAUUUAGGUAGCGCCUCGUGAAUUCAUCUCCGGGGGUAGAGCACUGUUUCGGCAAGGGGGUCAUCCCGACUUACCAACCCGAUGCAAACUGCGAAUACCGGAGAAUGUUAUCACGGGAGACACACGGCGGGUGCUAACGUCCGUCGUGAAGAGGGAAACAACCCAGACCGCCAGCUAAGGUCCCAAAGUCAUGGUUAAGUGGGAAACGAUGUGGGAAGGCCCAGACAGCCAGGAUGUUGGCUUAGAAGCAGCCAUCAUUUAAAGAAAGCGUAAUAGCUCACUGGUCGAGUCGGCCUGCGCGGAAGAUGUAACGGGGCUAAACCAUGCACCGAAGCUGCGGCAGCGACGCUUAUGCGUUGUUGGGUAGGGGAGCGUUCUGUAAGCCUGUGAAGGUGUGCUGUGAGGCAUGCUGGAGGUAUCAGAAGUGCGAAUGCUGACAUAAGUAACGAUAAAGCGGGUGAAAAGCCCGCUCGCCGGAAGACCAAGGGUUCCUGUCCAACGUUAAUCGGGGCAGGGUGAGUCGACCCCUAAGGCGAGGCCGAAAGGCGUAGUCGAUGGGAAACAGGUUAAUAUUCCUGUACUUGGUGUUACUGCGAAGGGGGGACGGAGAAGGCUAUGUUGGCCGGGCGACGGUUGUCCCGGUUUAAGCGUGUAGGCUGGUUUUCCAGGCAAAUCCGGAAAAUCAAGGCUGAGGCGUGAUGACGAGGCACUACGGUGCUGAAGCAACAAAUGCCCUGCUUCCAGGAAAAGCCUCUAAGCAUCAGGUAACAUCAAAUCGUACCCCAAACCGACACAGGUGGUCAGGUAGAGAAUACCAAGGCGCUUGAGAGAACUCGGGUGAAGGAACUAGGCAAAAUGGUGCCGUAACUUCGGGAGAAGGCACGCUGAUAUGUAGGUGAAGUCCCUCGCGGAUGGAGCUGAAAUCAGUCGAAGAUACCAGCUGGCUGCAACUGUUUAUUAAAAACACAGCACUGUGCAAACACGAAAGUGGACGUAUACGGUGUGACGCCUGCCCGGUGCCGGAAGGUUAAUUGAUGGGGUCAGCGCAAGCGAAGCUCUUGAUCGAAGCCCCGGUAAACGGCGGCCGUAACUAUAACGGUCCUAAGGUAGCGAAAUUCCUUGUCGGGUAAGUUCCGACCUGCACGAAUGGCGUAAUGAUGGCCAGGCUGUCUCCACCCGAGACUCAGUGAAAUUGAACUCGCUGUGAAGAUGCAGUGUACCCGCGGCAAGACGGAAAGACCCCGUGAACCUUUACUAUAGCUUGACACUGAACAUUGAGCCUUGAUGUGUAGGAUAGGUGGGAGGCUUUGAAGUGUGGACGCCAGUCUGCAUGGAGCCGACCUUGAAAUACCACCCUUUAAUGUUU
This 2188-nucleotide ribosomal RNA is filed under the name Escherichia coli. Its description in RNAcentral is "partial 23S ribosomal RNA". It matches the Rfam family "Bacterial large subunit ribosomal RNA", at positions 1 to 2215 of the family's 2925-position model. Lineage: Bacteria; Pseudomonadati; Pseudomonadota; Gammaproteobacteria; Enterobacterales; Enterobacteriaceae. The record is from RNAcentral.